UGGCUACCUAGCUCAGCUGGCUAGAGCAUUCGGUUCAUACCCGAAAGGUCGUGGGUUCGACUCCCUCGGUAGCCAUC
RNAcentral lists this transfer RNA (77 nucleotides) under Metalysinibacillus saudimassiliensis. Its description in RNAcentral is "tRNA-Met". It matches the Rfam family "tRNA". Rfam says of the family: Transfer RNA (tRNA) molecules are approximately 80 nucleotides in length. Their secondary structure includes four short double-helical elements and three loops (D, anti-codon, and T loops). Further hydrogen bonds mediate the characteristic L-shaped molecular structure. tRNAs have two regions of fundamental functional importance: the anti-codon, which is responsible for specific mRNA codon recognition, and the 3' end, to which the tRNAs corresponding amino acid is attached (by aminoacyl-tRNA synthetases). tRNAs cope with the degeneracy of the genetic code in two manners: having more than one tRNA (with a specific anti-codon) for a particular amino acid; and 'wobble' base-pairing, i.e. permitting non-standard base-pairing at the 3rd anti-codon position. The record is from RNAcentral. Lineage: Bacteria; Bacillati; Bacillota; Bacilli; Caryophanales; Caryophanaceae.